UACGUAGGUCCCGAGCGUUGUCCGGAUUUAUUGGGCGUAAAGCGAGCGCAGGUGGUUUAUUAAGUCUGGUGUAAAAGGCAGUGGCUCAACCAUUGUAUGCAUUGGAAACUGGUAGACUUGAGUGCAGGAGAGGAGAGUGGAAUUCCAUGAGUAGCGGUGAAAUGCGUAGAUAUAUGGAGGAACACCGGUGGCGAAAGCGGCUCUCUGGCCUGUAACUGACACUGAGGCUCGAAAGCGUGGGGAGCAAACAGG
RNAcentral lists this ribosomal RNA (252 nucleotides) under uncultured bacterium. RNAcentral describes it as "partial 16S ribosomal RNA". It matches the Rfam family "Bacterial small subunit ribosomal RNA", at positions 524 to 776 of the family's 1533-position model. The record is from RNAcentral.